AGACGGUACCUUAGGAGGAAGCCCCGGCUAACUACGUGCCAGCAGCCGCGGUAAUACGUAGGGGGCGAGCGUUGUCCGGAAUGAUUGGGCGUAAAGGGCGCGUAGGCGGCCCGGUAAGUCUGGAGUGAAAGUCCUGCUUUUAAGGUGGGAAUUGCUUUGGAUACUGUCGGCUUGAGUGCAGGAGAGGUUAGUGGAAUUCCCAGUGUAGCGGUGAAAUGCGUAGAGAUUGGGAGGAACACCAGUGGCGAAGGCGACUAACUGGACUGUAACUGACGCUGAGGCGCGAAAGUGUGGGGAGCAAACAGGAUUAGAUACCCUG
Molecule: ribosomal RNA, 319 nt
Filed under: uncultured bacterium
Lineage: Bacteria
Description: bacterial SSU rRNA
Rfam family: Bacterial small subunit ribosomal RNA
Source: RNAcentral